Molecule: long non-coding RNA, 429 nt
Organism: Brassica oleracea var. oleracea
Lineage: Eukaryota; Viridiplantae; Streptophyta; Magnoliopsida; Brassicales; Brassicaceae
Exons: 3
Source: RefSeq, a predicted model, not a curated record
AGACUCUAAAGGAAGAGAAAACAGAAGAACUUUAAAAAAUCUUAAAGCUUGACAAGUCGUUGGAUGGGGCUGUUGACGUCAUUGGUUCCAUGGAACUCUCAGGCUAAGAUGCUUGCAAAAAACAAGAUCAAUUUAAAUGAGAUUUCAUAUAACUCCGCAAUGGGGCUCAUCAAACAGGUUAUAGACAUGGGAGUUCUUCUAACUGAGGUUUAUCUGGAUACCGUGGUAGAUCCUUAGAAGUACUGAAUAAAACUGUCUGAGAGGUUUGGUUCGUUAAAGUUUGUCUUCUCAAAGAAAGCUGAUAGUAUGUACGUAUCCUGUUGUUAGUGUAGCAAGUAUUGUGGCUAAGCUUAAUAUGUUAUGGAUUAUCACUAUUCUGUGUUUGGAUUCCCAUCAUUGGUACGUUUCAGUUGGGGAACUUGCACAACG